AGUGGGGGAAUAUUGGUCAAUGGGGGCAACCCUGAACCAGCGAAUGCCGCGUGAAGGAAGAAGGCCUUCGGGUUGUAAACUUCUUUGGACAGGGGACGAAAUUUGACGGUACCCUGAAAACAAGCCACGGCUAACUACGUGCCAGCAGCCGCGGUAAUACGUAGGUGGCGAGCGUUGUCCGGAUUUACUGGGUGUAAAGGGCGCGUAGGCGGGUAUGCAAGUCAGAUGUGAAAUUUAUGGGCUUAACCCAUAAACUGCAUUUGAAACUGCGUAUCUUGAGUGAUGGAGAGGUAAGUGGAAUUCCUAGUGUAGCGGUGGAAUGCGUAGAUAUUAGGAGGAACACCAGUGGCGAAGGCGACUUACUGGACAUUAACUGACGCUGAGGCGCGAAAGCGUGGGGAGCAAACAGGAUUAGAUACCCUGGUAGUCCACGCUGUAAACGAUGAAUACUAGGUGUGGGGGGACUGACCCCCUCCGUGCCGCAGUUAACACAAUAAGUA
This 500-nucleotide ribosomal RNA is filed under the name uncultured bacterium. RNAcentral's name for it is "bacterial SSU rRNA". It matches the Rfam family "Bacterial small subunit ribosomal RNA", at positions 353 to 866 of the family's 1533-position model. The record is from RNAcentral.